GCUCUUCCGGAGUCCGAGUUGUAAUUUGUAGAAGAUGCUUUGGGUUGUGGGUUCGGCCUAAGUUCCUUGGAACAGGACGUCAUAGAGGGUGAGAAUCCCGUAUGUGGCCGAGGCCCGCGCCUAUGUAAAGCUCUUUCAACGAGUCGAGUUGUUUGGGAAUGCAGCUCAAAAUGGGUGGUAAAUUUCAUCUAAAGCUAAAUAUGGGCCAGAGACCGAUAGCGCACAAGUAGAGUGAUCGAAAGAUGAAAAGCACUUUGGAAAGAGAGUUAAACAGUACGUGAAAUUGUUGAAAGGGAAGCGCUUGCAACCAGACUUGGGCGCUGCCGAUCACCUUGAGUUUUCUCGAGUGCACUCGACAGCGCACAGGCCAGCAUCGGUUCGGGUGGCUGGAUAAAGGCCGUAGGAAUGUGGCUCUCUUCGGGGAGUGUUAUAGCCUACGGUGCCAUGCAGCCCAGCCGGACCGAGGACCGCGCCUUCGGGCUAGGAUGCUGGCGUAAUGGUUGUAAGCGACCCGUCUUGAAACACGGACCAAGGAGUCUAACAUCUAUGCGAGUGUUUGGGUGGUAAACCCAUACGCGGAAUGAAAGUGAACGUAGGUGAGAACCCCUUUGGGGCGCAUCAUCGACCGAUCCUGAUGUCUUCGGAUGGAUUUGAGUAAGAGCAUAGCUGU
RNAcentral lists this ribosomal RNA (670 nucleotides) under Erysiphe quercicola. RNAcentral's name for it is "partial large subunit ribosomal RNA". It matches the Rfam family "Eukaryotic large subunit ribosomal RNA", at positions 125 to 809 of the family's 3401-position model. The record is from RNAcentral. Lineage: Eukaryota; Fungi; Ascomycota; Leotiomycetes; Helotiales; Erysiphaceae.